Molecule: long non-coding RNA, 1129 nt
Organism: Oncorhynchus tshawytscha (Chinook salmon)
Lineage: Eukaryota; Metazoa; Chordata; Actinopteri; Salmoniformes; Salmonidae
Source: Ensembl
GCGACUCUAGGUCUUACAGGAACGCGCUCACCGGCCAAGCACACGCACUGUCGUGUAUGCAAGGUCCGAUCACUUCUGACACCAGUGUAAUGAAACAGGCAUGGAGCACGUCUCGAACCCUCGACCUUCGAGCCCGCGGUCCGGCGCGCUAUCGACUGUGUCGCAAAAGCAUGUUCGAGCGGCAGCGUCGAUUUCCGCUGAAAACCCAGGGUCGUCACACUACUGAAGUAUCAAAAGUAAAUGUAGCCUAUAAAUAAUUUCAAAUUCCAUGUAUUAACAAAACCAGAAGGCACAAUGUUCUUGUUGUUUUAAUUUACGGAUAGCCAGGAGCACACUCCAACACUUUUACAAACAAAGUGUGUGUGUUUUGUGAGUAGGGCCAUCAGAGGCAGUAAGGAUGACCAGAGCUGUUCUCUUGAUAAGUGCGUGAAUUGGACAAUUUUCCUGUCCUGCUAAGCAUUCAAAAUGCAACAAGUACUUUUGGGUGUCAGGGAAGAUGUUUGAAAUGAAAAGUACAUUAUUUAGGGCCUCCCCAUAGGCGCAGCAAUCUAAGCAUCACUACAGCCUGGGGUUCGAUUCCAGGCUGUGUCAUUACCGGCUGUGACCGGGAGUCCCAUAGGGCGGUUCACAAUAUGCCCAGCAGGUUAGUGCAGGGUUUUGGGGAGGCUUUACUUGGCACAUCUUGCUAUCUAGCCUGCAGGCAGACCUCUGUUGUCAGUUGAACAGUGUAUCCUCUGACAUGUUGGUGCAGCUAAAAAGUAAAAGUACUACUUGAGUAGUUUUUGGGGGGAUUUGUACUUUAUUAAGGUACUUUACACCACUGGUAAAUAGUACCCACAGAGAUCCUUUUUGGUAAUCUACCUUUCUACCUCACUGACAGUCCAUUCAAUCUGAUGUGAAUUCCAUAAUACAUGGUAAUGUGGCAUUUGUUUGUUUGUUUGUCCAGUUUCUCUUCUCUCUAGAAGAGGAAUGGUUUGGAGCAACCCAUCCUGGAGUGGGAUGGGAGCUCACUCUCCCUGCUGCCCUGGUUGUUUUUGGUGUGAUAUUACUAUGGAGGACCGUCCUUGCGAUCAAAAGCAGGAUACGUCUAUUGACUGAGACACAGCUAAACGUGAAACUCGCCCAGCUA